GCGAACGACGGGCCAGGAGCCGGGGUAAGACGGAGGUGGCAAGCGGGGUCCGGAAGUAUUGGGCGUAAAGGGCUCGCAGGCGGUGUCUUAAGGCGGAUGUGAAAGGCCCCGGCUCAACCGGGGAGGGGCAUUGGAAACUGGGGAACUGGAGUGCAGAAGAGGAGAGUGGAAUUCCACGUGUAGCGGUGAAAUGCGUAGAGAUGUGGAGGAACACCAGUGGCGAAGGCGACUCUCUGGUCUGUAACUGACGCUGAGGAGCGAAAGCGUGGGGAGCGAACAGGAUUAGAUACCCCGGUAGUC
This 300-nucleotide ribosomal RNA is filed under the name uncultured Lactobacillus sp. RNAcentral describes it as "bacterial SSU rRNA". It matches the Rfam family "Bacterial small subunit ribosomal RNA", at positions 496 to 795 of the family's 1533-position model. The record is from RNAcentral. Lineage: Bacteria; Bacillati; Bacillota; Bacilli; Lactobacillales; Lactobacillaceae.